This 402-nucleotide ribosomal RNA is filed under the name bacterium. RNAcentral describes it as "partial 16S ribosomal RNA". It matches the Rfam family "Bacterial small subunit ribosomal RNA", at positions 355 to 776 of the family's 1533-position model. The record is from RNAcentral.
UGGGGAAUUUUGCACAAUGGGGGUAACCCUGAUGCAGCGACGCCGCGUGAUUUAGAAGGCCUUCGGGUUGUACAAAUCUUUUCUAUGGGAAGAAAAUGACAGUACCAUAGGAAUAAGGACCGGCUAAUUACGUGCCAGCAGCCGCGGUAAUACGUAAGGUCCGAGCGUUGUCCGGAAUCAUUGGGCGUAAAGGGUACGUAGGCGGGUAAGCAAGUUAGAAGUGAAAUCCUAUAGCUCAACUAUAGUAAGCUUUUAAAACUGCUCAUCUUGAUGUAUGUAAGGAAAGGUGGAAUUCCUAGUGUAGCGGUGAAUUGCGCAGAUAUUAGGAGGAAUACAGGUGGGGAAGGCGAGUUUCUGGCCGUGCCCUGACGCUGAAGUACGAAAGCGUGGGUAGCGAACAGG